RNAcentral lists this long non-coding RNA (873 nucleotides) under Junco hyemalis (dark-eyed junco). RNAcentral's name for it is "lncRNA (ENSJHYG00000017245.1)". The record is from RNAcentral. Lineage: Eukaryota; Metazoa; Chordata; Aves; Passeriformes; Passerellidae.
GAAGGGUGCUCAGAAGUCACCAGUCCAACCUCCUACUGAGAGCAGCAUCACCUCUGAUCUCAGACCAGUUGCUCAGGGUUUUAUCCAGUCAGGUCUGGAUGGAAAGCACAGCUUCCCUAGGGAACUUGCUCCAAUUCUGAUCUGGUAGGGAAAAAUAGUUUAUGGGAUCCAGUAAGAACUUUAAUGACAGAGACACAUUUAUAUUGUUGUGCACUAUUGGGAUAGAUCUGCCACAGGAAUUGGGGAAUUCCACAUUUAUUGUUACCUUUAUGACUGGAUAAUUUUCUGGGAAACAUGUCUUUUAUCAAAGAGAUGUGCAGUCCUGUACGGCUCAGUCUUGGAGCUGGGAUGUGGAAAUCUGUCCUUCCACCUCUUCUCUGAAAAUUUCAUUUGGCAAGAUGGCAACCCCAACCACUGUGAAGAGAGUAUCCUGGAAUGCACAAUAGGAAGCUGCUGGGCAGCUGGGCAUGCCAUGGGCUGUUCUCCCAGAUGCUCCUCUGCCAGUCUUUGAGGGUUCUGGAGAUGCAUCUGCUGUUUCCUACAGAGCCACAGAUGAGGAAAGAAGGCCUAGCUACUUCCCUUCAGCAACUAGGUGUGCUUCUCCUGAAAUCAGAGGGAUCUGCAGAAUCUUAAAAAGGAAAGGUUUCUGGGCCCUCCAUCCUUCUAUGCAACUAUGGUCCACUGAGAAUGGUGGCCUUGGAGGAACUGGUGUUGCACUGAAUAAUCUAUAAUUCCCUGCUUGUGGCUGGAUUUGUUUUUAAAGGGAGUCCUCAGGAGUAAAAGGCCUUCCAUGGGCACAUCACAACCCCAUCAUGGUCAUGAGCAAGGCCCAUGAGGCAGAGAGAGAGGAAAAUAAAGGCAAAAGAGGUUGCA